This 506-nucleotide ribosomal RNA is filed under the name uncultured bacterium. RNAcentral describes it as "SSU rRNA". It matches the Rfam family "Bacterial small subunit ribosomal RNA", at positions 26 to 521 of the family's 1533-position model. The record is from RNAcentral.
AGAACGAACGCUGGCGGCGUGGAUAAGACAUGCAAGUCGAACGGGUUUAAUUUCGGAGCAAUUCGGAAUUAGGCCAGUGGCGAACGGGUGCGUAACACGUGAGUCAUCUGCCUGAAAGUGGGGGAUAGCUCGUCGAAAGGCGAAUUAAUACCGCAUACGCCCCGAAGCAAUUCGGGGUAAAGCCGGGGCAACCUGGCGCUUUUAGAGGAACUCGCGGCCUAUCAGCUUGUUGGUGAGGUAACGGCUUACCAAGGCUUCGACGGGUAGCUGGUCUGAGAGGACGACCAGCCACACUGGAACUGAGACACGGUCCAGACACCUACGGGUGGCAGCAGUCGAGAAUUUUUCUCAAUGGGGGAAACCCUGAAGGAGCGACGCCGCGUGGAGGAUGAAGGCUUUCGGGUUGUAAACUCCUGUCAUUUGGGAACAAGCCUUACGUUAACUGCGUGGAGGUUUGAUAGUACCGAAGAGGAAGAGACGGCUAACUCUGCGCCAGCAGCCGCGGU